This 301-nucleotide ribosomal RNA is filed under the name uncultured bacterium. RNAcentral describes it as "partial 16S ribosomal RNA". It matches the Rfam family "Bacterial small subunit ribosomal RNA", at positions 509 to 807 of the family's 1533-position model. The record is from RNAcentral.
CAACCGCCACGGGAAUACGAAGGGUGCAAGCGUUACUCGGAAUUACUGGGCGUAAAGCGUGCGUAGGUGGUGGUUUAAGUCCGUUGUGAAAGCCCUGGGCUCAACCUGGGAAUUGCAGUGGAUACUGGGUCACUAGAGUGUGGUAGAGGAUAGUGGAAUUUCCGGUGUAGCAGUGAAAUGCGUAGAGAUCGGAAGGAACAUCUGUGGCGAAGGCGACUAUCUGGGCCAACACUGACACUGAGGCACGAAAGCGUGGGGAGCAAACAGGAUUAGAUACCCCUGUAGUCCCUGUCUCUUAUAC